AAUCAUCUCCCUUCAAACAUAUAAGUAGGACAAUAUAAAAAAAAAAUGGAGAAAAUCUCAGCAUUUCUUGCCAUCCUCCUCCUGGUCUCGUCAUGCAUGGUGAAAGAGACUGUGACGCAGAAUAUUGUAGAAUGUAAAACAGAUGAAGAUUGUGUGAAGCAGAAGUAUAGCUGUCCGAUCUCAGGGGAUCCGCCAGUUUGCCUCGACUAUUUCUGUAGCUGUUUCCAUCAUGAAAUGCAUACUCCUGCAUCGACAAACUCCAACUCUUGAUGAUAUUCAUGUUGAUUUGAAUAAUGAAAAGGCUAUAUAUAUAACUCUUUCAUCGUUAUCUUCUCUCCAUGCAUCUUCCUUCUGAAAUGUAUCUCUAUAAUAAGUUAAUAACUAAUAUUGUCGUACUUGGCUAUGGGCCGCUGUAUUCCUUUUCCGGUUAUGUGCGGUUUUUAGCCGGUUUGGUUUUCUUUAAUUUUUACCUUCCUUUCAUCAUCAA
Molecule: long non-coding RNA, 487 nt
Organism: Brassica napus (rape)
Lineage: Eukaryota; Viridiplantae; Streptophyta; Magnoliopsida; Brassicales; Brassicaceae
Exons: 2
Source: RefSeq, a predicted model, not a curated record